GAAAAAUGUUUAUUUGAUUCACAACUAAUUGAAAUAAAUAAUAAGAAACAGAAUUAUACAUAAAUGUUACACAAUUAAUGCAUAACUUCAACACACAUCCUUCCAGUAAUUUCAAUGCGAAUUACAUUGGGAACAUAUAUAAUCCGUUACAUUCACAAGAAUUAAUUAUCCUCAAUUUCAACCAAUAUAUAUAUAUAUAAACCAUCAAUUCUUGAGAUUAAGCACUUGAUAGGCGCAGAUAUGGCUUCCAGACAUUCAAUGAGAUCCUGUGAGAGGCCUUGCUGCAGGCAGUCGACCACUAGAGUGAAGAGAUAUUGGAGGAGUUUCUUCAGCAAAAUACGUGCAAGUACCAUCGAGGACAAGAAGCUGGUAAAGCACAUGCAUGAGUUAUUUAAUUCAGAUGUAUGAAAAAUGUUACUGACUUGGGUUGUCACAAGUGAACUGUCUUGUAUAUAUUUUUGUUGUUCUUGCUUUUUCUGGUUUUGAAAUCUUCAAAACAAUGCUCAUCUACUAAAAUUUAGCUAAUUCUGAAUACUUGCAGAAACUACCGGUGAAGUUUGUGAGGAAAUAUGGGGAUGAGCUUUCUGAUGUAGCUAAGCUCAUUGCACCUAAUGGCCUUAUUUGGGAAGUGGGUUUAACUAAAGGGGCGAUGAUCAUUUGGUUUGAUGAUGGCUGGCAUGAAUUUGUAGAAUAUUAUUCCAUCUGUAAUGGAUGGAUUUUAAUAUUCAACUAUAUGGGUAUGUCGAGUUUCAAUGUUUCUAUAUUCGAUGAGAGUGUUUUUGAGAUUGGAUAUCCACGUUAUCAACCAAGAAGUAAGGAAGAACCUAGGAAACAGCCACCAUUCAAUGAGGAUGAAAUGAAACAUAAUGAUUUUGAUGGGAUUUUGGGUUCUAAUCCACAUCCAAGUUCAAGCAAAGGGGCAAGUUCCAAGAAAAGGGACUAUGCUACAACACAGCAGAAUCUGGCUAGACCUGUUUUUGGUUCUGGCAAUCUAGGAAUUAACAAGAGUUUCAAGGAUGCUGCUUCUGCAGAGAAACGGAAGUUUCAGCAAGAAUACCAGAAAAAGGGCGAAAAUUGUGAGAUGGAAGACUUGCCCAAUGCAAAUGACUCGAACCUAGGUAAUCAUGUGAAUUCUUUCUUAUUGUGGUGUUAUUAUGAAUCUACACUCUAAACAAUAAUCCAUUACUUUUAAAGAUGGAAUUGACUCGUCACCAGGAUGUGAAGAAUUUAACAUCUUUACAAGUAAACAAUUUUAUGCAACAUUAUCAAAAAUAUCACCAGAAAGCAAGAAAGCGGUGGAUGCAGCAAUGGAGUGCAAGCCAAAAAAUCCAGCUUUCCUGGUUAUCUUGAGGCAACAUUUUGUAGGCGACAAUGCAAUGGUAUUACCUGGUUAAUUUCUUGGAGUUUCUCUCUUCCAGCGUGCUUAUUAUCAAUUUUCUUCCUGAAUUUUGCAGCAUGUGCCAUCAGCAUUUGCUAAGAGUUUUCUGCGUAAUAUUUCUGAGAUGAUCAAAGUUCAGGAUUCUAAUGGAGGAGAGUGGAUAAUCCAUACCGAUUGCUACUGGAGAGGUGGAUAUUUGAGUUUAAGAGGGGGCUGGGCUGAAUUUUUCAGUGACAAUGAAUUGGUGGUUGGAGAUGUAUGUCUAUUUGAGCUGAUUCGGAAGAAGAAUGUUGCCCUGAAAGUUUCAGUAUUUCAUGCUUUUAUGGAUUAAAUUUGUCUGCUUAAUAAGAAUAUGCGCAGUGGUUAUGUUCUUUUUGGUUCUGUUUGCUGAUAUGGAAUUGGAUCGUAGAUUUUGGUUACUCAAAAAGAUUGCUAAUCUGGGCCCUGACGUUUAAGUUUGCAGCAAUUGCUUUUGAGUGGAAACUACUUCUUUUGUGGGCUGGAUAUUUAACUUAUAGGUGCCUUGUAUUUCUUGCUUGGUAAUUUUCAUGUGAAUGCAGUUCUUGUUUUCACUCCCAUAUUCCAGUUGUUCAAUGAUAACAACUAAUAU
This 1988-nucleotide unclassified non-coding RNA is filed under the name Hevea brasiliensis (rubber tree). The record is from RNAcentral. Lineage: Eukaryota; Viridiplantae; Streptophyta; Magnoliopsida; Malpighiales; Euphorbiaceae.